Long non-coding RNA from Raphanus sativus (radish), 1381 nucleotides. RefSeq lists it as uncharacterized. Lineage: Eukaryota; Viridiplantae; Streptophyta; Magnoliopsida; Brassicales; Brassicaceae. The record is from RefSeq and is a predicted model, not a curated record. The transcript is spliced from 2 exons.
UUUAUGGUUUUCAACUGGGCUUCGUCUUACCUUAAUGUUUCUGUGUGUAAUCGUCAGGUUUAGUUAAUUGCUUCUGCAAAACUCACCGCCGAAGCAAAUAACCAAAAUUCGACCACCAUGACCAGAAAUUCCAGAAGCUAAUCGAUUUGAGUUCUUCAAAUCCGCACUGAAAUCUGUCGCCGUUAAGUAAGUCGAUCAGAUUCAAUGCAUCGUCAUUAACGCGAGCAUUGACAUUGAUUCUCCUUCCUAACACAUGUCUCAUUCAAUUCACAUCCUCUUUUCCUCCAUUGUGUGAAUCCAGAGCUAUAAAUAUAUCCGCCGUUGAAGUGCGACUUUUGAGUUUUUGGGAAAACAGCCGUAAGAUGAUAAAGGCAAUGGUGAUGAUGAACAGACAAGCCACAUUAUAAGGUGAUCUUGCUUCUUCUGGUUGCAAUUUUAAUUUUAGACAGACUGCAACCAAUUCUAAACUUACGACUUAUGGCUACAGCUAGAGAAGCAACGAUAGCUCAUAAUCAACGUGUUUUCAUGUAUGAUUUUUUAAAGGUUCCAGUCCACAAAUUGCCUUGGCAACUUGAUCCCUACUCUAGAUCUUAUAUUCUACAAUCUUUCACUAGAUCAUCUGUUAUUUUAAGAAUUGUUAGAGACUGUGUUUUUGACAUUGACCCGCUUAGGAAGCAUGGAUAGAAUGAUGAAGGCAUCAACAGUCGAGUCAGUUGAAAUUUCUUUUCCCUGCUUUAGAAAUCUGGUACGGUUACGAAUCAUUGUCAUCAACCUUCUAAUUGACUCCAUCUUUCCACUCAUUCCACGAUAUAAAUAUGUAAGUUUCUUGCAGUCAAAUUCAUUAUUUCAUUCUUCUCAAUUAAUUUGGAUAUGUUCUUAAGAGAGACUUGAACAGUUGAUGAGCGAAGAACAUGGCAGUGUCAUCUGUUUUGAUUUUUUUAUUCAGAACUUUAUUACUUGGAUUGUUGUUGUUUGAUUUUAUAGUAACUGUAUUUCCUUUGUGAGCUAUGGUGGUUAUACAAUUGCAGGUAAUUAAUCUGACGGAAGCGAAACCCCGUGAAUUUGUACUGUAUGGUUUAGUGUGUUUGGAGACGUUUGCAGCAGAAUGAAAUGACUGUGCAAGAGAAGGAAGAUAAUGAUGCAGAUCAUUGUGAGUAAUAUAUCCUUUGGCAAUGAGAAUUGGAUUUAUCAAGUUUGUGGCAAUAAAGAUGCUGAUAGGUGGCAGGUGGUGAUGGUACCUAUGAUUGUAUUCUUGAUUGUCUUGAUGAGAAACCCAAUAUUGUUAAUCUCUAGAGAUUAUUCAAUCAAAAUUAUAAUAACAAUAAAUGGGAAUUAUAGUAUUUUUGUUUUCUCAGUAUAUGCAAUUAUGUACUUUUAAUUA